This 561-nucleotide ribosomal RNA is filed under the name Penicillium chrysogenum. RNAcentral describes it as "eukaryotic LSU rRNA". The stretch from base 179 to 331 matches the Rfam family "5.8S ribosomal RNA". The record is from RNAcentral. Lineage: Eukaryota; Fungi; Ascomycota; Eurotiomycetes; Eurotiales; Aspergillaceae.
GGUUUCGAGUGAGGGCCUCUGGGUCCACCUCCCACCCGUGUUUAUUUUACCUUGUUGCUUCGGCGGGCCCGCCUUAACUGGCCGCCGGGGGGCUUACGCCCCCGGGCCCGCGCCCGCCGAAGACACCCUCGAACUCUGUCUGAAGAUUGUAGUCUGAGUGAAAAUAUAAAUUAUUUAAAACUUUCAACAACGGAUCUCUUGGUUCCGGCAUCGAUGAAGAACGCAGCGAAAUGCGAUACGUAAUGUGAAUUGCAAAUUCAGUGAAUCAUCGAGUCUUUGAACGCACAUUGCGCCCCCUGGUAUUCCGGGGGGCAUGCCUGUCCGAGCGUCAUUUCUGCCCUCAAGCACGGCUUGUGUGUUGGGCCCCGUCCUCCGAUCCCGGGGGACGGGCCCGAAAGGCAGCGGCGGCACCGCGUCCGGUCCUCGAGCGUAUGGGGCUUUGUCACCCGCUCUGUAGGCCCGGCCGGCGCUUGCCGAUCAACCCAAAUUUUUAUCCAGGUUGACCUCGGAUCAGGUAGGGAUACCCGCUGAACUUAAGCAUAUCAAAGGCCGGGGAGGAAU